AGCUAAAUGAAUCAGCUAAAUGAAUCUCUGGGAUCUUCAUAAUCGUGAAGGUUGGGCUCCAUCUUGCUAGAGAAUAAUUGCGGCAACUGUAUGAACAUAUUGCAUCACGACUCAAUGGGUCUGCCAUUAGCCCUUAUCACCUGGCUCUUCUUAGUUAUGAAGUUUGGGUUCCAUCUUUCCCGAAGAAAUUGACCAUCGUAAGUGUGCUUUGAGGACAAGAAGAUUGCUUCUCUCAUGUCAUUCCCUAACAGAAGAGACCUAGGAGAAUGUCAACUGCCAAUCCUGAAAGCCACUGGAAAGGUCCACAAGCCUCAUCGUGGCCACGGUAUGGACGCAUUGCCUCGCGACUCAGUGGGUGCCGUUGCCCUUAUCGCCGGCCGCUCCUUAGUUGUGAAGGUCGGGUCCCGUCUUGCUCAAGGAAAUGGAGGACAGGGAGAGCGUGCUUCGAGGACAAGAAGAUUGCUUCUCUCCCGGGGUUUCGCCACGGAAGAGACCUUGGAGGACAUGAGCUGCCCGUUCUGCGAGCCACUGGAAAGGUCCACAAG
Tupaia belangeri chinensis (Chinese tree shrew) is the source of this 545-nucleotide long non-coding RNA. RefSeq lists it as uncharacterized. The record is from RefSeq and is a predicted model, not a curated record. Lineage: Eukaryota; Metazoa; Chordata; Mammalia; Scandentia; Tupaiidae. The transcript has 5 exons.